UACCAGAUUACAAGACUGGAUGAAGGGGGCUUCCCAUUGCAAAUAAAAGAGAUGACCAAAAGCUCUCGGUAACAAAAGAGAAUGAUUUCCAGACCCCAGAAGGAUUACAGACUGCAAAGAUUCCAGAGACACAAUGCAGCCUGACAAGAACAUCUGGAGGGUUAGCAAAACUCUCAAAGACAAGUAAGAGAAAAGGAAAGUUAAAUAUUUGCCCCCCACAAAAGAAGCCAAUCACAAAAGAUCAAGGAUGGAUCCGACCAGGACAAAUCCAUGACAACUGUUGGAUAAACAGGUACAUUUUGUGGGAGUGCAAGCCCAUUGUAUGUUCUGCAAAGCCUUGGGAAAACUCUCCAUGUAUUGUUUG
Molecule: long non-coding RNA, 364 nt
Filed under: Fukomys damarensis (Damara mole-rat)
Lineage: Eukaryota; Metazoa; Chordata; Mammalia; Rodentia; Bathyergidae
Description: lncRNA (ENSFDAG00000033606.1)
Source: RNAcentral